Felis catus (domestic cat) is the source of this 4136-nucleotide long non-coding RNA. RefSeq lists it as uncharacterized. Lineage: Eukaryota; Metazoa; Chordata; Mammalia; Carnivora; Felidae. The record is from RefSeq and is a predicted model, not a curated record. The transcript has 3 exons.
UAGGUUUCUAAGAGUUUAAUGAACUUAAGAGUUUUAAGAAUAUAAACUCCAUGAAGGCAAGGGAUUUUUCUGUUUUACUCAUCGCUGUUCAUUGUUGUUUUAUUCAGAGUUGUAUCUCCAGUGGCUAGUAAUGCCUGGCAUGUAUUUGAUGACUAAUGAAGCCUGAGUACAUUGUCACCUGUCAUUUACUCCUAACAGAGCCAUAAUGAGUCACGGUUGUCAAUGAAUGCUCCCUUUAAAGACAGCAAUGUUUGGGGACAGAGGGGUUCACCAAAGAGAAGUAACUCAAGAGGGCCUGAGGUCUGGAGGACUGUUGCUGGAGUAAACUGGCAUAACUGUGAUGCCCACCUCCAGACCGGACUAAUCGCAGGCAGAGAAACAGAGAGCAGGGAGGCAUGGUGAUGUCCAAGCCCAGCAGUAGAGUGGGACAUUAUCUGGAAAAGAAAGACACCCAACCCCGGAAGGCCAGCUGGGGUGCUAUUGCAAUAGUGUGGUUGACUCGAUGCGAGUUGGAAUUUGAGUUCUCCCUGGAAGCAUGGAGGAAUGUGGAUAGGAGACACCGCCAGGUUAGAACCUGCAGAUCUACACGGCUGAUGUAGGAGACGAUGGGCGAGGAGGGCAGGCCAAGGGGAGAGGAUCGCGGAUACCUCCAAGGUUUAACGGACUGGUGAUUCCACACACAGAAGCGGGGAGUCAUUUUACUUCUGGGUCCCCCCCCUUUCUUGAACUUUGUGGCACUUAUUGUUUAUGCUACAUAUUUUGGCCCUUAUUCCCAUACUUUCCAAUACUACAUAACUCCUAAAUAUGAUACACACACAUUUUUCUUCCUGCUGACGUAACUGACAAGCUCUCCCUUGCAAAAUCCUUUGACGACUGUGGUCCUUAUCUGGGUUCUUGUUUGCACUGGUGCCCACUCUCUCCUCUUAAAAUAUGUCUCUCCUUUGUCUGUUUUGCUGUCCCUCUCCACUGGCUCUCCUCCCACCUCUCAGUUCCCCCCUGCCCAUGAAAUACUGGCGUUUUCUGGAAUCCAUCCCUAGUCACUCCUCCUUCCCCUUCUCAGUCUCCCUAGCCGAACUCAACAACACCCUCCGCUUAGUGUUGACCCCUGUAAGUGACUGCUUUCCCCAACUCUCACCAUCUGACCUCUCCCCUGAUCUCCAAAUCCCUAUUCCCCCAACUGAGUAUGUUCCCCAGAUCCUCCACGGACAAUCAAACUCGAACUGCUCGUUAUACUAAACGAGUCACUGUUAUCCCUUCUCCUGGCCUCUGGCUUCCCGGCACACGUUUCCAUACGUGAAUGACACUCUGGCCAUCUUGUGUCAUACAGCAAGAACAUGGGGAUGAGGCAGCCCGUGCUUCUCUCUUCCACGGCUCCCUCCCAUCCAUCCCAUGCCCCUCACUCCACCCAAUCAUCACCACGUUCUUGUGUCUCCACUGCCUUCCUACCUCCCAAAGGCCUGAGUCAAGGCAAUGAGGACGGAGCAGCUGGCCAUACAUGGAAAAUCAGUGUUAACUUGCCAAAGGUAAAGAGUAACCUAAAAUCUUCAAUGAAAUAAGACUACAUUAUAAAUUUAAAUGUCAAAAAUUAAGAUAUAUAUAAUCGUAUGCCUAAUUUGUCUAAAUACACACUUCAAAACCAGUUUUUCAAUUAAAAAUGGAAACUGAUCAUCAGUAAUUUGGCUCAAUAUUAAAGAGUUUAAGGCAAAAAUCAGACUACAUAGUAAUGAAAAGAUUACACAUUUCAGUCUUUAUAUUAACUAGCAUGGAGAAGCCCCAAAUCACACGUGAAUGCGGUUGGAAAGCAUAAAACCGUUUAACCAUCUUCUCUGAUAAGUUUUUGACACUGACCAUGAAGCGGCUGACUUCUGUUCAACAAGUUUUGUUACCUGAGGUAAACCUCGUGGCCGGUUUUUACUCUGAAUAUGCCACAUAUUUAGUAAGAUAUACUGCCCUCUUCUUGGGAAAAGUACCCAUGAGGAUCCUGUGUCAGGCUUUCAAGUCUCUCUUCAAAAUGCUUAAAAUAUUUUCCGUAAAAUCAGAAGAGUUCACCUGGGUGGUCAGCUGAGCGAAAGAAUCCAGUUCACCUUAACCUUGGUGCGUAGUCCCUCCGUCCAGCUUCGUAACCACCUCUUUGACAAUCCUCCUUACACUGAAGAUCUGUCUUUGCAAAUUAGCACAUGGCGCGGCUGUAUUCAUUCACGUAAAGACCCUAAAGCUAUGCUCACAAGGCUUCGAGUCAUUAAAGAUAGCACCAAAAUAUGACCUUUUACAAAGCCAGGGGCAGCUAGGCACGCUCUCACAGAGAACAGGCAUCCUCUAGAAAGGCCUAAUACUUUUCUGAGAUCCAAACAGACCAAGACUGAGUUCUCUCCAUGAAAUCCAACAAGCCUCCGAAGGAAACAAUCUGAGUGAGUUGAGUGAAUGAAAAAUCUUGAGUCGCCUCGCCUCUAUAUAGAUUGAGAGGGAAAAGAGUAGAAAGUUGCCUGACUGGCGCAAAUGGUAAUAUCAACAAUUCAUUAAGGAAAUCUUUCCAUUUAUCCUCAGACAUGUCAGGGCUACCCUGUGCACGUGAGACUGAGGAAUGUCUAUUCCCACUGCCCAGCUUCAGUAGGUAGACUGAGUUCUCCACUGGGCCACCGGACAUCAGUCACAACCCGACAUAGUGUCAUAGUUGACUAACCACAGACGACCAGCUAAAAAUCACAGUAUCGGCGGGUUCCUCAGAUUAUUGUGAGUGGUACCAACCUCGUCCUCAGAAAAGGUCAGCAAGAUUGUUACCGCCCAUCAUUUUAUAACGGAAAAUACUGUAGCUUUGUGUUGACCAAUUCCUUGAAGCAUCCUGCCACGAGGUGACCAGUGGGCUUGGCCGGGGUAGCAAUUAUUUUCACGGUUACUCCUCAUCCCGUGACAAGAUCGGAAGAUCACGGGAGCUGUAAACCCACUUUCUGAGCGCAAAUAAUCUGCAACAGAGAGUAAUAUCCUAAAAGUUAAACACACGGGGCCACACAGAAAUGGCCUCUCCACUAUGUAUUUCCAACCCGGUGACACAUUCACCCAGGACAGGCCCUGGCAUCGAUCUGUAAGUCUUCAUUUCUGUUGCACUUUUUACUUAGAAGACCAACAGGAAUACAAGUCCUCAUGUUUUCUCCUGAUGCUCCAGUAAAUCGCUGUGGGCUCUCACUGCGGUGUGCCCAACUAGCUCAACUAUUCCUACUCCUCAACAACGUCCUUUCCGUCUCCUGGCCUUCUUGGAGGCCGUCCUGUUUCCCGGAGAUGCCUGUGGUCCCUCUAUCCUCCUAAAACCUCUCACUCAUCCUUCCAGAUUCCAACUGUGGUCAGUCCUCUGACAAGCUUUCCACCUUCUCCCUCCCUCAGCCCUUCUGUUCUCCUGCGGCGUGAGAAGCCCUUGUUUUGCUCCGAUUACAGCACUCACCACAUUGUAACACAACGUAAUAUGGCACAGAGAUUCCCGCUGCUUCCCUGGCUUGUUUGCCCCUUGAGACCAAGGACCGUUUUGUGCGCUGAACCCAUGUGCUCUGAGCACCUGCUCUGUGCUCAUAAAGGCCAGAAGUUCUGGGAUAACAAAAUAACAGCAGUAAGAACAAAACGUUCUGUCACCAAGGAGCCUGCACCCUAAUGGGAAGAGAUAACAAUAAACAAAGAGAGCUGCAAGUUAUAGAGGACGUGAAAUAGUGAUGUGUGUGAUGCGAGAAAAUAAAGCCAGGGACAAACACUGAGGCCGAUGGUUUGCGAUUUAAAAUGGGGUAGCCAGGGACAGCUUCACUCUACUCAUCAGUGAUGCCUCGUGCCUUUCCAGAAGUAGGCCCUCAAUAAAUGUGUGCCGUGCUGUGCUAAUUUUAGACCCUCUUCAGUGCUGCAGUCCUAGCAGGAAUGCAACAAAUGCCACGGAUACAUAAAGUGGAUUUUGGUCGUAAAGGAACUGCUACCAUAUCUACGUCGUUUUCCCCCAGAUCCAUUUUACAGCUAAGGGAUAGUAAAUGCUGCCUUAUGUUUGCACAGGACUUGACAGUUUAUGGAGUGUCCAAGGUCAGAGGUGAGCAAGGCAGGAGUUAUCAUCGUUAAAGAUGCAGAAAUGAAGGCCCAAAGGCAGUAAGUGACUUGCCCAAUGUUGAAGA